GACGAACGCUGGCGGCGUGCCUAAUACAUACAAGUAGAACGCUGAAGGAGGAGCUUGCUUCUCUGGAUGAGUUGCGAACGGGUGAGUAACGCGUAGGUAACCUGCCUGGUAGCGGGGGAUAACUAUUGGAAACGAUAGCUAAUACCGCAUAAUAGUAGAUGUUGCAUGACAUUUGCUUAAAAGGUGCAAUUGCAUCACUACCAGAUGGACCUGCGUUGUAUUAGCUAGUUGGUGAGGUAACGGCUCACCAAGGCGACGAUACAUAGCCGACCUGAGAGGGUGAUCGGCCACACUGGGACUGAGACACGGCCCAGACUCCUACGGGAGGCAGCAGUAGGGAAUCUUCGGCAAUGGACGGAAGUCUGACCGAGCAACGCCGCGUGAGUGAAGAAGGUUUUCGGAUCGUAAAGCUCUGUUGUAAGAGAAGAACGAGUGUGAGAGUGGAAAGUUCACACUGUGACGGUAUCUUACCAGAAAGGGACGGCUAACUACGUG
This 495-nucleotide ribosomal RNA is filed under the name uncultured bacterium. RNAcentral describes it as "partial 16S ribosomal RNA". It matches the Rfam family "Bacterial small subunit ribosomal RNA", at positions 28 to 507 of the family's 1533-position model. The record is from RNAcentral.